Molecule: RNA transcript, 768 nt
Organism: Ochotona princeps (American pika)
Lineage: Eukaryota; Metazoa; Chordata; Mammalia; Lagomorpha; Ochotonidae
Exons: 5
Source: RefSeq, a predicted model, not a curated record
CGGGGUCCUCCGGGAGCCUCGAGAACGUUCUGGGAGGGGCAGGACUGGGUUGGUCCGUGAGUGACGAACUGCCUGGCGGCCAUAGUUAACGCGAGGGGUUUGGUUGGUGAGGAACGAAGCGCAGUGCUUCGCCGACUGUUGACAAACCGCAGAGGCCGCAGACAGCCCCGGUGAGAGCUGCCCCGGAGACUUUUCUCCAAGACAGAAAUAAAACAGGUCUGACCAUGACAGCAGUGUCCUUGCCAGUGGGAUCCCAGGAAUCAGUGACUUUUGAGGAUGUGGCCGUGUACUUCACUAAGAAGGAAUGGGUCAGCCUGACACCUGCUCAGAGAGCCUUGUACAAGGAAGUGAUGUUGGAGAACUUCGGGAUGGUGACUUCCCUAGCACCGUCACCCAUCUCCACACCAGCUCUGAUCUCUCGGCUGGAGCAGGGGAAGGAGCCAUGGUCCACGCGGCCUCAGGGAGCCCUGAGCAGGCGGGCCCGUCGAGCCGUCCUCAUACGAUACAUCGCAAAACUAAGAAGAUUUACUUACUUAGCUAAAAUGGUGUCACGUGCAAUAAGAUUAAAACUUCGUCAGAGUCGCCAUUGCCGUGAAGACAGAACAAAAGCUUAAUUCUUGAGCUUUAAAUGCGAGUUUUCAAGUAAGGAAUUAAGAGUCACCUUACGUGAAGUCAAGUGCGUGUUUUCUUUUCCUGUAAGUUCGUGGAUUUCUACAGAUUGAAUCUUUCCCAGUUCAUUAAAGUUCCUUACUUUGCUGGACAAAGCAA